Molecule: long non-coding RNA, 768 nt
Organism: Empidonax traillii (willow flycatcher)
Lineage: Eukaryota; Metazoa; Chordata; Aves; Passeriformes; Tyrannidae
Exons: 5
Source: RefSeq, a predicted model, not a curated record
GAUGUCCACCUCGGGCUCCUCCGCCGCCGCCGCCAUGACACCGGGACGGCGCUAUCGCGGGAAGGGGCGGCCCGGCGGCGGCGAUGGGCGGGCACAGAGCGCUGAGGAGCGGCCGGGCGGAGCCGGACAUGGCGCUGAGCAUAGCUGGUGCUCCAGGAAAUAGAGAAUGGGCAGAGUUCCCAUCCUGUGGAGCCUACAGUCGGAAAAAUCCUCUACACACCAAGAGGGCUGGCAGAGGAGCAGUUGAUCCGCGGUGGGAGCCCAGGGAGGGAAGGGUGGUUGAUCAAAGUGGUGCCUCCCAAACAGACUGUCCUGUCUCCAGUGAAGCAGAGGAGAAGUGCAGUUGGUGAGCAGUGUUAAAAACCAGGUCCCAACCAGACCAACCAGAUACUCCUCGAUGUCUGAGUCCUCUCAUGAUCCUGCAGUGAUACUUUUUCAGCACAGAGGCAGAAAUGCAGAUACAGCAUGAGAGGGGCUCCACACGCAGCUGAUGGAUCUUCUGGAAGCAUUACAAGGCCUCUUCCAUCAGUUUUACCCACCUUUUGCCUUGGAGGAGAGGGGGAAUAUUUAAAGGAGCACUUACGAAGUCUGUAAGUUGAAAUCCAUUGACAGUAUCUAUAUCACUUUAUCCAUAGAACCUAUAAGAGCUCCCAAAAUCAGUCCCAACCCUCAAGCUGAGAAAGGCCGGACAUCCCAACCCAAAAAGUAUUUCCAGUGUUGAGUUCCUAUGUGAAACUCAUUUAUCUUUUAGUUCCUGUUCCUAUUGCU